UUCACUAAGCUCAGAUUCAUUAGCUUCCUGGCAUCCACCAUCCCAAACAGUGUUGGAAGGUGUUUGUGGAGGGAACCCGGCUAUUUUAAGCCUCCUGGAGAACACCUGAGGCUUAGCUGCCUCCUGGCAGGUGACUUCACCCUCCCCUGGAGAGGACUCAUUAGGGAUUGUUUUGCAGCCCCGGGAGGCAGGCCUGGGUGGUGCUCCAUUCCUUCCUGGGAUGUUCUGGAACUUUGUGGCCUCCCUGGCAGGGAUAAGCCAUGCUCUGGGCUUCAUAUUAAUCGCUGCUUCACUAAUGAGCUUCACAGAUGCCCUAGGGUGCUCCCAGGGACCGGAAGCUGGAGGGGAAGGAGCUCCAGCUCAGGCGGAUUCAGGGCUUCAGGAGAACGGUGGAACUUCAGCUACAUUUUUUUGGUCUUUAAGGCAAAACAUACAAAUCCAGGAGGAGUGUUCUGUGGCCAGCAGUCUGUGCAGGGCUCACUUCUGACAUUCUCCCAGCCAAGCUUCCUAUCCUGGCCACCUCACCCUGCCUGGGACAGGCUUUUUUGACUCUGUUUCCAGCAACAGAACAGGCAUUAGUCUUAGCAACACCUUGCUGAAUGCCUUGAUACCAGUUUUAGGAAUAAAAUGAACUUUGAUUGAUGCAAAGUACGAUGUGUUUUGUGCCAGUC
RNAcentral lists this long non-coding RNA (671 nucleotides) under Capra hircus (goat). RNAcentral's name for it is "lncRNA (ENSCHIG00010020795.1)". The record is from RNAcentral. Lineage: Eukaryota; Metazoa; Chordata; Mammalia; Artiodactyla; Bovidae.